GACAGGAAUGGUUGCUAUCUGAACUGCGAGGAAAACGACCUUUAUUUGGUCCAGACCUUCCGAAAACCGAGGAAAUUGCUGAUGUUCUAGAUACACUCCAUGUCAUAGCGGAACUGCCUUCUGAUAACUUUGGGGCUUAUAUCAUCUCUAUGGCCACUGCUCCAUCAGAUGUUCUCUCUGUUGAGCUUUUGCAGAGAGAAUGCCAUGUGAAG
Molecule: unclassified non-coding RNA, 212 nt
Filed under: Hevea brasiliensis (rubber tree)
Lineage: Eukaryota; Viridiplantae; Streptophyta; Magnoliopsida; Malpighiales; Euphorbiaceae
Source: RNAcentral